RNAcentral lists this long non-coding RNA (297 nucleotides) under Danio rerio (zebrafish). Its description in RNAcentral is "lncRNA (ENSDARG00000117753.1)". Lineage: Eukaryota; Metazoa; Chordata; Actinopteri; Cypriniformes; Danionidae. The record is from RNAcentral.
AUGAAGAUCUUCCAGAUCCAGUUUGUAGAUGAAGUCCAUGAAGGCCGAGCACCGCUGACAGUGACUGUGGCGAACACAGAGGAGGAGUUCAGGAACACCACAGUUAAAGACCUGCAGAGAAAACUCAUCCCAGAAGACGAGUAUGAAAACACCAUUCUGGUCUAUGAAUGUUCAACGCUGAAGAGAAAUCGCACACUCGGCUCCUAUAACAUUCAACAUGGCUCUGUUAUUAGAGGCUUAUGGCAUGGAGGUAUAAAUCCUGCUCAUAUUUAUAUUAUUGUAGAAAUCUCUUUAUAG